RNAcentral lists this transfer RNA (65 nucleotides) under Ceriagrion fallax. Its description in RNAcentral is "tRNA-Arg". The record is from RNAcentral. Lineage: Eukaryota; Metazoa; Arthropoda; Insecta; Odonata; Coenagrionidae.
AAAUGAAAAGUGAAAAAUCACAAUCAGUUUCGACCUGAUCUUUGGUAUGAAAUUACCUUCAUUUA